CCUACGGGAGGCUGCAGUGGGGAAUAUUGCACAAUGGGCGAAAGCCUGAUGCAGCAACGCCGCGUGAGCGAUGAAGGCCUUCGGGUCGUAAAGCUCUGUCCUCAAGGAAGAUAAUGACGGUACUUGAGGAGGAAGCCCCGGCAAACUACGUGACAGCAGCCGCGGUAAUACGUAGGGGGCUAGCGGUAUCCGGAAUUACUGGGCGUAAAGGGGGCGUAGGUGGGUUCUUAAGUCAGAGGUGAAAGGCUACGGCUCACCCGUAGUAAGCCUUUGAAACUGGGGAACUGGAGUGCAGGAGAGGCAAGUGGAAUUCCUAGUGUAGCGGUGAAAUGCGUAGAUAUUAGGAGGAACACCAGUUGCGAAGGCGGCUCGCUGGACUGUAACUGACACUGAGGCUCGAAAGCGUGGGGAGCAAACAGGAUUAGAUACCCGGGUAGUC
RNAcentral lists this ribosomal RNA (439 nucleotides) under uncultured bacterium. RNAcentral describes it as "partial 16S ribosomal RNA". It matches the Rfam family "Bacterial small subunit ribosomal RNA", at positions 338 to 795 of the family's 1533-position model. The record is from RNAcentral.